AUUGAACGCUGACGGCAUGGCUAAAACAUGCAAGUCGAACGAUCCCUUCGGGGAGAGUGGCGAAAGGGCGAGGAAUAGAAUCGAAUGUACCCCAAGGUGGGGGAUAGCCUCUGGAAACGGAGGGUAAUACCCCAUGUGCUCUACGGAGGAAAGGUUUACCGCCUUGGGAGCAGCGAUUCUCCUAUCAGGUAGUUGGUGAGGUAACGGCUCACCAAGCCGAAGACGGGUAGCGGGUGUGAGAGCAUGACCCGCCGCAUCGGGACUGAGACACUGCCCGGACUCCUACGGGAGGCUGCAGUAACGAAUCUUCCGCAAUGGGCGAAAGCCUGACGGAGCAAUGCCGCGUGUGGGAUGAAGCAUCUUCGAUGUGUAAACCACUGUCAGGGUCUAGGAAUACUGACCAGACCCAAAGGAAGGGCCGGCUAAUUCCGUG
This 433-nucleotide ribosomal RNA is filed under the name uncultured bacterium. Its description in RNAcentral is "bacterial SSU rRNA". It matches the Rfam family "Bacterial small subunit ribosomal RNA", at positions 30 to 507 of the family's 1533-position model. The record is from RNAcentral.